ACGGAUGUCCCGUUCUUUAAUUUCAGGUGUUGCAAUCCUGACCGUCUGGAAUAUCCGCUUUUGAAGGAAUUCACAGAUUUCUAUUUGCAUUCGAAUUCGGACAAUGGAUAUUUUCAGCAGAUUGAAAGUAACACCACAAAGCUAGUAAUGACCAAAGCUUUUUUUCAAUGAAUAAUGGAAAUUGCCAGAUUUGUCAUAUUUAUGGAAAAUUUAAGCUGUAUUUGUUUAAAAGGAGAUUGCUUUAUUAAGUUGUUGUAGUGUUUAUGAUUUACUGUGUUUCGUUUUCUUAUGAAAACUUCUGCCAUCAAUCUAGACAACAUAUUAGGCUGGGAACAAAUUUUUGUAAAUGGACUUGCCAAAUCGAAAGGAAUCAUUAUAUCGAAAAUAGUUUGAAACAUAAUUUACAACAUUUGAUAUUAGAAACAUUUAAUGGAAGCAGAAAAAUUUCGUCGGUUUUUGAUGGAGAUUUGUCGCCAGUUUCCAAUUUUGAAAAAGAGGACAUUCCAACUGUUCCAAGAAAUCAGACUCAGCGAUCAUUAGUAUCAAAUUGGACUAUAGCAUACAAUAAACUGACAGAAAUAGCUCUUUAUCGACAGUUUGGAACAACCUAUUAUGCUGAUCACAAUGAUUUAUACGUGAACUGGGAUGAUGAUAAGGCGAAGACAUUGUUGUGUAUAAUGAAACAUCAAGCAAGUAAUUCUGGACACAGUAUACCUAACUAUACUUGUAAUAAAAGACUUACAUUGUCAAGGCAUCCAACAAACAGAGCAGAAUUUGCAAAAUGGAUGUAUGUCAUAUUGGAAGAUAACAAGAAAGAGUUUUGUGAAAUUCAUAAACUAGUUCUGCCUCAAGAUAGUCAUAUGAUUCGUCGAUGCUAGUCAAGAAUUUUAUUUUAAUUCCGAUCUCAUUUCAAAUUAAACUUUCUUUAAUUGAAUACGCAAAACCACUAACCUGUAGGAAAGGAGGGAUAUGUAUGUUAAUACCUUUUGGGAAAGGAAGUGGUUCCAGACUUUAUUUUCGCAUUAUUUUGCAUGAUUUUCAAUAAUCUGUAAAUCGACUCUAAAAUUCUUUAACAUUUGGGAUGAAAAACAAGAAAAAUAUUGAUUAUUUAGGUUUUCUUGUAUUGUACAUGGUAGUAAUGCCGCUUUUUGUCUUGUCUGUCAUCCUGUCUGACCAUCAUAAAGAUAUUAAGGCAUAUAACAGAUUGAAAUAUGACAAAAUUAAUGCAUGCGUAUUUCUGAGCCUUCUAUUUGUCUGCACCCACCUUUUAAUGUCAAUCCCACAACUCUUUCUUCAUAUGGAAAGAAUUGCUUUAUGUAAAUUUAUAAUUUUAAAGCAAAUAUAAUUUUGAGUGUUAAAGUUAUUUUGAUUUCAAUGAAAAUUAGGAACCUUUUGUUUGGGGAAAGGAGGAUACGCAUGUUUUUUUGUUUAA
Molecule: long non-coding RNA, 1432 nt
Organism: Mytilus californianus (California mussel)
Lineage: Eukaryota; Metazoa; Mollusca; Bivalvia; Mytilida; Mytilidae
Exons: 4
Source: RefSeq, a predicted model, not a curated record